Molecule: ribosomal RNA, 497 nt
Filed under: uncultured bacterium
Lineage: Bacteria
Description: partial 16S ribosomal RNA
Rfam family: Bacterial small subunit ribosomal RNA
Source: RNAcentral
GAUGAACGCUGGCGGCGUGCCUAAUACAUGCAAGUCGAGCGAACAGACGAGGAGCUUGCUCCUCUGACGUUAGCGGCGGACGGGUGAGUAACACGUGGAUAACCUACCUAUAAGACUGGGAUAACUACGGGAAACCGGAGCUAAUACCGGAUAAUAUAUUGAACCGCAUGGUUCAAUAGUGAAAGACGGUUUUGCUGUCACUUAUAGAUGGAUCCGCGCCGCAUUAGCUAGUUGGUAAGGUAACGGCUUACCAAGGCAACGAUGCGUAGCCGACCUGAGAGGGUGAUCGGCCACACUGGAACUGAGACACGGUCCAGACUCCUACGGGAGGCAGCAGUAGGGAAUCUUCCGCAAUGGGCGAAAGCCUGACGGAGCAACGCCGCGCGAGUGAUGAAGGUCUUCGGAUCGUAAAACUCUGUUAUUAGGGAAGAACAAAUGUGUAAGUAACUAUGCACGUCUUGACGGUACCUAAUCAGAAAGCCACGGCUAACUACGUG